GUAUUACGGUACAGAGUCAAUGUGGAGACUAUAUACAGGGGGGUACCGGUACAGAGUCAAUGUGGAGGCUAUAUACAGGGGGGGUACCGGUACAGAGUCAAUGUGGAGACUAUAUACAGGGGGGUACCGGUACAGAGUCAAUGUGGAGGCUAUAUACAGGGGGGGUACCGGUACAGAGUCAAUGUGGAGGCUAUAUACAGGGGGGUACCGGUACAGAGUCAAUGUGGAGGCUAUAUACAGGGGGGUACCGGUACAGAGUCAAUGUGGAGGCUAUAUACAGGGGGUACCGGUACAGAGUCAAUGUGGAGACUAUAUACAGGGGGGUACCGGUACAGAGUCAAUGUGGAGGCUAUAUACAGGGGGGUACCGGUACAGAGUCAAUGUGGAGGCUAUAUACAGGGGGUACCGGUACAGAGUCAAUGUGGAGACUAUAUACAGGGGGGUACCGGUACAGAGUCAAUGUGGAGGCUAUAUACAG
This 478-nucleotide long non-coding RNA is filed under the name Salmo salar (Atlantic salmon). RNAcentral describes it as "lncRNA (ENSSSAG00000099531.1)". Lineage: Eukaryota; Metazoa; Chordata; Actinopteri; Salmoniformes; Salmonidae. The record is from RNAcentral.